This is a non-coding RNA of Cajanus cajan (pigeon pea), 873 nucleotides long. Lineage: Eukaryota; Viridiplantae; Streptophyta; Magnoliopsida; Fabales; Fabaceae. The record is from RefSeq and is a predicted model, not a curated record.
UACAACAAUGCUUGUGUGUCUGUUCACAAUAUUCUGAUCUUUUUUUGCCUUUACAUGUUGAUUCUUACAUAAGAAUGUAUCUAUGAAAUUUGGAAACUUUUUAUAUGCUUCUAUAACAAUUCUGUAGCUCUUAGGACAGGUUGGUAGUGCCAGUAAUGUAACAAGUUGUGAAAGUUGAAGGUUUUGAAAAUUAAUGAGUUUCUUUGGUAAAUUUCAUUACUUACAAUUUGUACUGUAAUCUUUUUACAGGAGGCACAACAGAAUCGUCCUGUUUCUUAUCGUGAAGUGUAUAACAAAGUUCACAAAAAAAAUGAUGGUGAAUUUGUCUCAACUAGGGCAAAGAAAUUUAUUGAAACAUAUGAAGAAUCAAUGACACAAAAAUAUGGAGAAGACACUUAAUCUCGUCCUGUAAUUGAUUCUGAUCUUUGGUAAAAAGCUGCAAGUAAAAACAAGAAGAAAAGAGUGCAUGGCAUGGGACAUAGCUUGGAUCUUGGAACUAGUAGCUCUACCCAAGCUUCAUCUCCAGAGGUUACAGGUUCUUCUACAAAUCUUACGCCUAUGACAGAAGAACAGGUCACUACAGUUAUAAAUAAUGCAUUGGCCUCUUUUUUGCAAACACAAUUACCAGAGAUGAUGAAGCAAAUAAUUCAUGCAGUUCAACCAUCAACAACACUAUCAACCAACCAACAUAGGGAGGAUCAAGGACGAGAUGAUGAUUUUACUAGCUUAGGUUGAUUACUAUUUAGGAUGACUCGUUAUUUGACUUUUUUUUUGUAAGACAUUAAUUAGUUUGGGUUUCUUUAAGAUAGUAUGUACAAGUUGAAUUUUGUAAGACAUUUAACAAUUUGGUUUUGUAAGAGAUAUUGUUACAUG